UAUGUGAUCGUCUCUCGCAUAUCAAUAAGCGGAGGAAAAGAAACUAACAAGGAUUCCCCUAGUAACGGCGAGUGAAGCGGGAAGAGCUCAAAUUUGAAAUCUUAAAGGGUUUCCCUUUACGAAUUGUAGUUUAAAGAAGUGUUUUCUGUUGAGGUUUUGGUAAAAGUUCUUUGGAAUAGGACAUCAUAGAGGGUGAGAAUCCCGUAUUUGACCUUUACUUUCAACUUUGUGAUACACUUUCAAAGAGUCGGAUUGUUUGGGAAUGCAGUCCAAAAUGGGUGGUAAAUUUCAUCUAAAGCUAAAUAUUGGCGAGAGACCGAUAGCGAACAAGUACCGUGAGGGAAAGAUGAAAAGAACUUUGAAAAGAGAGUUAAACAGUACGUGAAAUUGUCAAAAGGGAAGCGUUUGACACCAGUGUUGUUUUUCUGAAAAUCAAUUAAAGAACUGUUUAUGCUAAGUCGUUUAGACUUUAUCAGCUAUCUGUUUAGUUUUGAGCUUUUCUUUAAUGCACUUUUCAGUUAACAAGUCAACAUCAAUUUCUUUUGCUGUAAAAAAGCUUGAGGAAGGUGGCUUGAGAUUCGUCUUAAGUGUUUAUAGCCUCUUGCCUAUGCAGUCGGAGAGAUUGAGGUCUGCAGCGUAGAUCCUUCGGGGCUAAAUGCAUUUGUGCUAAGUUAUAGCAUUUUAUAGACAACUUGUUGACUAUGAUUUGUCUUGUAGCUUACUCGCUUAUGUUAUUUUACCUACGCUUAGGAUGUUGAUAUGCAUGACUGAUAU
RNAcentral lists this ribosomal RNA (774 nucleotides) under uncultured Neocallimastigales. RNAcentral's name for it is "partial large subunit ribosomal RNA". It matches the Rfam family "Eukaryotic large subunit ribosomal RNA", at positions 24 to 640 of the family's 3401-position model. The record is from RNAcentral. Lineage: Eukaryota; Fungi; Neocallimastigomycota; Neocallimastigomycetes; Neocallimastigales.